CUUCCAAUAUGGUGGCGCCCAGUGAAUUGUCGUUAUCAGAGAUACGCAAAUAUUUAUUAGAAAAAGGUGGUAUUGCGCGAAAUCGUGAUGUAGUAAAACAUUUCAAGAGUUUUUUAACUGAUCCGGAAACUCGAGUCGAGGCACGAAAUAAAUUUAAAGAAUACGUAAAUCUGUUGGCGACAAUAAAAACUGUUGAGGGGGAAAAAUAUUUAGGAUUAAAGAAAAAGUAUAGAUAUAGCUUAGAAGAUCUUGAAUCGACGAAUCAUCCUACAUCAAGUGAAUCACCAGUGCCUACACCUGAUUUUUUUACACCAACAUCACCCUUUCGAGAUCCACCACCAUACAGGCCGCCACCACCUGCACCACUCAGCCCCUCAAAUCUAUCAGACACAUCAUAUUCAGCAGACUUAACUUCACCUGAAGAACUUUAUGCAAUUCCUUCUAAAUUAAAAACUUCACAAGAUGAAAGAAGUCGACCGACAAGUAGUGAGACUUCAGAAAGUAAUAAUACUGGGCCUGUUUCAUCACCACCUGUACCUCCUCGAAGAAAAAGUCAAGAUAAGUUGAAGUUGGAAAAUAAAGAAAAUAUUAAUGCUGACAAAGGAAAAAACGAGAUAGAGCCUACGAUCAAGGAAGAUGAAACUACAGAGACUCUUGGAACAUCAGAAUUGCCAAGUGUUCGUGAACGAAUGCAACGGUUCAACCGGAUGGCAAGUGAAACUGAUCUUCAUGGUCGACCAAACGGUACCACAACUCCUACUAAGAAGCGUUCUGACAAGGGAGCAGACGAGGAUGACAGUGCUUCAGUGGCAUCACAACUGGAUGGCAAAGCUCGCGAAUGGUUGGUAAGAGCUGCACAAGGUGACUAUCAGACAUUAGCAAAGCUAGCUGCUGAGGAGCCCCGUUUAGUCAGACAGAAGGAUCCCUCAUCCGGUUAUACUGCAUUGCAUUGGGGAGCUAAGCAUGGGGAUGAAAACAUCGUCAAGUUGAUAGCUGGCACCCACGGGGACAAGAUAAAGAGUGUCAAUGAAACAACAAAUGGGGGUUACACGGCACUCCACAUAGCCAUGCAGUUUAAUCACGAGAAUAUCUUCAACCUUCUUGUCCAGGUGUAUGGUGCAAAUCAGGAGAUUCGUGAUCACAGUGGUAAAAAAGCCAGGCAAUACUUGGCCUCACAGGAAGCAGCAGUUAGUCAAGAUACAUUUCGCAGGAUUAUUGCUGCUGCUACACUCAGAAAUAAAAGCAAGGAAAAAGCACACAGAGAAAGAUCUUGGUUUCCUACGAAUUGGCUCACUGAACGUGCGCGUGAAACGUACGACGGAAGCUUUCAGCCAGUUCUUGGGUGUAGCCAGUAGUACAAGCACCAAUCAUGAUAAAAUUCAUAAAACUUGGGGUUCUGCUGAUAACAUACAAGAACAUGCACUUAUGCCACCACCAAAAUAUGCUCCAAUCAAAAAACGAAGAAGUAAAAGAGCACAAGACUUUAAUUCUUUACGAAAUCAACAUGCAGCAAGUCAACCAAGUACCCCGUUACCACAAAACAAGGGUGUCAUA
RNAcentral lists this unclassified non-coding RNA (1554 nucleotides) under Chelonus insularis. Its description in RNAcentral is "ankyrin repeat domain-containing protein SOWAHB, transcript variant X2". The record is from RNAcentral. Lineage: Eukaryota; Metazoa; Arthropoda; Insecta; Hymenoptera; Braconidae.